RNAcentral lists this ribosomal RNA (2201 nucleotides) under Moraxella catarrhalis. RNAcentral's name for it is "bacterial LSU rRNA". It matches the Rfam family "Bacterial large subunit ribosomal RNA", at positions 721 to 2925 of the family's 2925-position model. Lineage: Bacteria; Pseudomonadati; Pseudomonadota; Gammaproteobacteria; Moraxellales; Moraxellaceae. The record is from RNAcentral.
CCGAGUGAUCUAUCCAUGAGCAGGUUGAGUGCCGUAACAGGCACCGGAGGACCGAACCCACUGUCGUUGAAAAGCCAGGGGAUGACUUGUGGAUAGGGGUGAAAGGCUAAUCAAACUCGGUGAUAGCUGGUUCUCCCCGAAAGCUAUUUAGGUAGCGCCUCGGACGAACACCAUUGGGGGUAGAGCACUGUUUCGGCUAGGGGGUCACACCGACUUACCAAACCGAUGCAAACUCCGAAUACCGAUGAGUGAUAUCCGGGAGACAGACGGCGGGUGCUAACGUCCGUCGUCAAGAGGGAAACAACCCAGACCGCCAGCUAAGGCCCCAAAUUCCUAGUUAAGUGGGAAACGAUGUGGGAAGGCACAGACAGCUAGGAGGUUGGCUUAGAAGCAGCCACCCUUUAAAGAAAGCGUAAUAGCUCACUAGUCGAGUCGGCCUGCGCGGAAGAUGUAACGGGGCUCAAACUAGGAGCCGAAGCUGCGGAUUUAAUUGUUUCAAUUAAGUGGUAGGGGAGCGUUGUGUAAGCCUGUGAAGGUGCACUGUAAGGUGUGCUGGAGGUAUCACAAGAGCGAAUGCUGACGUGAGUAACGACAAAACGGGUGAAAAGCCCGUUCGCCGGAAGACCAAGGGUUCCAGUCCAACGUUAAUCGGGGCUGGGUGAGUCGACCCCUAAGGCGAGGCCGAAAGGCGUAGUCGAUGGGAAAUCGGUUAAUAUUCCGAUACUUGUUUAUGAUGCGAUGGAGGGACGGAGAAGGUUAUGCCAGCCUGGCGAUGGUUGUCCAGGUGGAAGGAUGUAGUUAGACUGAGUAGGCAAAUCCGCUCGGUUAUUAAUGAGAUCUGAUAGCAAGCCAGUUUACUGGCGAAGUGGCAAAUACCCUGCUUCCAGGAAAAGCUUCUAAGCGAUAGUCAUAAACGAAUCGUACCCGAAACCGACACAGGUGGUCAGGUAGAGAAUACCAAGGCGCUUGAGAGAACUCUGCUGAAGGAACUAGGCAAAAUGGUACCGUAACUUCGGGAGAAGGUACGCUGCCGGUGGUGAAAUCCUCGCGAUGUAAGCUACUGGCAGUCGCAGAUACCAGGCUGCUGCAACUGUUUAUUAAAAACACAGCACUCUGCAAACACGAAAGUGGACGUAUAGGGUGUGAUGCCUGCCCGGUGCUGGAAGGUUAAUUGAUGGGGUUAGCGUAAGCGAAGCUCUUGAUCGAAGCCCCAGUAAACGGCGGCCGUAACUAUAACGGUCCUAAGGUAGCGAAAUUCCUUGUCGGGUAAGUUCCGACCUGCACGAAUGGCAUAAUGAUGGCAGCGCUGUCUCCAGCAGAGACUCAGUGAAAUCGAAAUCGCAGUGAAGAUGCUGUGUACCCGCGGCUAGACGGAAAGACCCCGUGAACCUUUACUACAGCUUUACAUUGAACUUUGACCUAACUUGUGUAGGAUAGGUGGGAGGCUUUGAAGCAGAUACGCCAGUAUUUGUGGAGCCAACCUUGAAAUACCACCCUGGUUAUGUUGGGGUUCUAACUUAGGAUUAACAAAUCCAAGGACAAUGUAUGGUGGGUAGUUUGACUGGGGCGGUCUCCUCCUAAAGAGUAACGGAGGAGUACGAAGGUGCGCUCAGAACGGUCGGAAAUCGUUCAAAGAGUAUAAAGGCAAAAGCGCGCUUAACUGCGAGACCCACAAGUCGAGCAGGUACGAAAGUAGGUCUUAGUGAUCCGGUGGUUCUGUAUGGAAGGGCCAUCGCUCAACGGAUAAAAGGUACUCUGGGGAUAACAGGCUGAUACCGCCCAAGAGUUCAUAUCGACGGCGGUGUUUGGCACCUCGAUGUCGGCUCAUCUCAUCCUGGGGCUGAAGCAGGUCCCAAGGGUAUGGCUGUUCGCCAUUUAAAGAGGUACGCGAGCUGGGUUUAGAACGUCGUGAGACAGUUCGGUCCCUAUCUACCGUGGGCGUUGGAAAUUUGAGAGGAUCUGCUCCUAGUACGAGAGGACCAGAGUGGACGAACCUCUGGUGUUCCGGUUGUUUCGCCAGAAGCAUCGCCGGGUAGCUACGUUCGGAUGGGAUAACCGCUGAAAGCAUCUAAGCGGGAAGCCCACCUCAAGAUAAGAUUUCCCUAAAGAGCCGUUGUAGACUACGACGUUGAUAGGUUGGGUGUGGAAGUGUAGUGAUACAUGUAGCUAACCAAUACUAAUUGCUCGUUUGGCUUGACCAU